CCUACGGGGGGCAGCAGUGGGGGAUAUUGCACAAUGGGGGGAACCCUGAUGCAGCGACGCCGCGUGGGUGAAGAAGCGCCUCGGCGCGUAAAGCCCUGUCAGCAGGGAAGAAAAUGACGGUACCUGAAGAAGAAGCCCCGGCUAACUACGUGCCAGCAGCCGCGGUAAUACGUCGGGGGCAAGCGUUAUCCGGAUUUACUGGGUGUAACGGGGGCGCAGGCGGCGAUGCAAGGUAGGAGUGAAAGCCCGGGGCCCAACCCCGGGACUGCUUUUGGAACUGCGUGGCUUGAGUGCAGGAGGGGCAGGCGGAAUUCCUGGUGUAGCGGUGAAAUGCGUAGAUAUCAGGAGGAACACCGGUGGCGAAGGCGGCCUGCUGGACUGCAACUGACGUUGAGGCCCGAAAGCGUGGGGAGCAAACAGGAUUAGAUACCCUUGUAGUC
RNAcentral lists this ribosomal RNA (440 nucleotides) under uncultured bacterium. RNAcentral's name for it is "partial 16S ribosomal RNA". It matches the Rfam family "Bacterial small subunit ribosomal RNA", at positions 338 to 795 of the family's 1533-position model. The record is from RNAcentral.